RNAcentral lists this ribosomal RNA (879 nucleotides) under uncultured Methanosarcinales archaeon. RNAcentral describes it as "bacterial SSU rRNA". It matches the Rfam family "Archaeal small subunit ribosomal RNA", at positions 21 to 903 of the family's 1478-position model. Lineage: Archaea; Methanobacteriati; Methanobacteriota; Methanomicrobia; Methanosarcinales. The record is from RNAcentral.
GGUCACUGCUAUCGGUGUUCGACUAAGCCAUGCGAGUCAAAUGUUCUUCGUGAACAUGGCGUACUGCUCAGUAACACGUGGAUAACCUGCCCUUAGGUCUGGCAUAACCCCGGGAAACUGGGGAUAAUUCCGGAUAGAUUAUAGACGCUGGAAUGCCCUGUAAUCCAAAGCUAUUGUGCCUAAGGAUGGGUCUGCGGUCUAUCAGGUUGUAGUGGGUGUAAUGUACCUACUAGCCUACGACGGAUACGGGUUGUGGGAGCAAGAGCCCGGAGAUGGAUUCUGAGACAUGAAUCCAGGCCCUACGGGGCGCAGCAGGCGCGAAAACUUUACAAUGCGGGAAACCGCGAUAAGGGGACACCGAGUGCCAGCAUCCUAUGUUGGCUGUCCAUAUGUAUAAAUCACAUGUGUUAGCAAGGGCCGGGCAAGACCGGUGCCAGCCGCCGCGGUAACACCGGCGGCCCGAGUGGUGGCCACUAUUAUUGGGUCUAAAGGGUCCGUAGCCGGUUUGGUCAGUCUUCCGGGAAAUCUGACGGCUCAACCGUUAGGCUUUCGGGGGAUACUACCAGGCUUGGGACCGGGAGAGGUAAGAGGUACUACGGGGGUAGGAGUGAAAUCUUGUAAUCCCUGUGGGACCACCAGUGGCGAAGGCGUCUUACCAGAACGGGUCCGACGGUGAGGGACGAAAGCUGGGGGCACGAACCGGAUUAGAUACCCGGGUAGUCCCAGCUGUAAACUAUGCUCGCUAGGUGUCAGGGACGGUGCGACCGUUUCUGGUGCCGCAGGGAAGCCGUGAAGCGAGCCACCUGGGAAGUACGGUCGCAAGGCUGAAACUUAAAGGAAUUGGCGGGGGAGCACUACAACGGGUGGAGCCUGCGGUUU